RNAcentral lists this transfer RNA (72 nucleotides) under Marmota monax (woodchuck). RNAcentral's name for it is "tRNA.Ala". Lineage: Eukaryota; Metazoa; Chordata; Mammalia; Rodentia; Sciuridae. The record is from RNAcentral.
UGUCAUAUAGCUCAGUGGUAGAGUACUUGCACAGCAUGCAUGAGGCCCUAGGUUCAAUCUCCAAUAACACAC